This 744-nucleotide ribosomal RNA is filed under the name Flavobacterium succinicans. Its description in RNAcentral is "bacterial SSU rRNA". It matches the Rfam family "Bacterial small subunit ribosomal RNA", at positions 43 to 788 of the family's 1533-position model. Lineage: Bacteria; Pseudomonadati; Bacteroidota; Flavobacteriia; Flavobacteriales; Flavobacteriaceae. The record is from RNAcentral.
CAGGCUUAACACAUGCAAGUCGAGGGGUAGAAGUCUUCGGGCUUUGAGACCGGCGCACGGGUGCGUAACGCGUAUGCAAUCUGCCUUUCACAGAGGGAUAGCCCAGAGAAAUUUGGAUUAAUACCUCAUAGCAUUACAGGAUGGCAUCAUCCUGCAAUUAAAGUCACAACGGUGAAAGAUGAGCAUGCGUCCCAUUAGCUAGUUGGUAAGGUAACGGCUUACCAAGGCGACGAUGGGUAGGGGUCCUGAGAGGGAGAUCCCCCACACUGGUACUGAGACACGGACCAGACUCCUACGGGAGGCAGCAGUGAGGAAUAUUGGUCAAUGGACGCAAGUCUGAACCAGCCAUGCCGCGUGCAGGAUGACGGUCCUAUGGAUUGUAAACUGCUUUUGCACAGGAAGAAACACUCCGACGUGUCGGAGCUUGACGGUACUGUGAGAAUAAGGAUCGGCUAACUCCGUGCCAGCAGCCGCGGUAAUACGGAGGAUCCAAGCGUUAUCCGGAAUCAUUGGGUUUAAAGGGUCCGUAGGCGGUCUUGUAAGUCAGUGGUGAAAGCCCAUCGCUCAACGGUGGAACGGCCAUUGAUACUGCAGGACUUGAAUUAUUGGGAAGUAACUAGAAUAUGUAGUGUAGCGGUGAAAUGCUUAGAGAUUACAUGGAAUACCAAUUGCGAAGGCAGGUUACUACCAAUUUAUUGACGCUGAUGGACGAAAGCGUGGGUAGCGAACAGGAUUAGAUACCCU